CCCUUAGAUGUUCUGGGCCGCACGCGUGCUACACUGAACGGUUCAAUGGGUAAGGUAGUGCGAAAGCAUGACCUAAUCUCGAAAUCCGUUCGUGCUGGGGAUAGAAGCUUGCAAUUAUCCUUCUUGAACGAGGAAUACCUUGUAAGCGUGAGUCAUCAUCUCACGCUGAAUACGUCCCUGCCCUUUGUACACACCGCCCGUCGCUCCUACCGAUUGAGUGUUCCGGUGAGGCUUUUGGAGAAUGGCCUCAACAUGAGUUUAUCGUGUUUUGCCGUUUGAACUUAGUCAAACCUUAUCACUUAGAGGAAGGAGAAGUCGUAACA
RNAcentral lists this ribosomal RNA (323 nucleotides) under uncultured eukaryote. RNAcentral's name for it is "partial 18S ribosomal RNA". It matches the Rfam family "Eukaryotic small subunit ribosomal RNA", at positions 1470 to 1796 of the family's 1831-position model. The record is from RNAcentral.